CAUUUAAUAAAGUACUUCAAGAAAGGGUGACCUCACAAAAGGACUGGCUGGUAACAAGUGGGAGAGGGAGUAUGGAGAGCAUGCUACAUGCAGGGUUGGAAAAUAGAACUGGCCAUUAACAUAAUCUUGAAGGAAAAGAGAAAAUGAAGCUUGUAGCCAAUGCCAUUUUUCAAAAGGAUUGACUUGAUGAAGACAGCUUCUAGGAUAUCCUUUCAUUUGUAUAAAAUGGUGCCUGGAAAAGAUAAAGAAAUGAGAAGAAAUCAUGAGAUAAAAAUGUUUCCAACUGAAGAAAAAAACAGCAAUCUAAUAUCUAUAUAAUCCUGGAACAAACAAAAUGUUCCGCAUUAUCAUCUUCGUCCUAAGAACUAAAAUUUGGAGCCGUUAAUCACAGUUAAGAUUUGUAGAGAGGUCCUGGGAGAUUCAUCAUGAAGUCAUUUUAAAUGUCAUCCUGGUAAAAUUAAGAGUCUGUCUUAUC
RNAcentral lists this long non-coding RNA (475 nucleotides) under Vulpes vulpes (red fox). RNAcentral describes it as "lncRNA (ENSVVUG00000017739.1)". The record is from RNAcentral. Lineage: Eukaryota; Metazoa; Chordata; Mammalia; Carnivora; Canidae.